CGAACGCUGGCGGCGUGCUUAACACAUGCAAGUCGAACGGAAAGGCCCUGCUUUUGUGGGGUGCUCGAGUGGCGAACGGGUGAGUAACACGUGAGUAACCUGCCCUUGACUUUGGGAUAACUUCAGGAAACUGGGGCUAAUACCGGAUAGGGGCUCCUGCUGCAUGGUGGGGGUUGGAAAGUUUCGGCGGUUGGGGAUGGACUCGCGGCUUAUCAGCUUGUUGGUGGGGUAGUGGCUUACCAAGGCUUUGACGGGUAGCCGGCCUGAGAGGGUGACCGGCCACAUUGGGACUGAGAUACGGCCCAGACUCCUACGGGAGGCAGCAGUGGGGAAUAUUGCACAAUGGGCGGAAGCCUGAUGCAGCAACGCCGCGUGCGGGAUGACGGCCUUCGGGUUGUAAACCGCUUUCGCCUGUGACGAAGCGUGAGUGACGGUAAUGGGUAAAGAAGCACCGGCUAACUACGUG
RNAcentral lists this ribosomal RNA (466 nucleotides) under uncultured bacterium. RNAcentral describes it as "partial 16S ribosomal RNA". It matches the Rfam family "Bacterial small subunit ribosomal RNA", at positions 30 to 507 of the family's 1533-position model. The record is from RNAcentral.